UAGUGGUGUCAAUUCAGUUGAUGGAAUUGAAGAACCAUUUCAAGCAGUGAACAGAUUCUCCAUCAAGAGUCAUCCCAUGGUUGUUCAAUCCCCAAUUUGCAAAUACAAGCAUCCACAUCAAAACAUUCAUCUUUUUAAUUACCCUUCGUAAACUCUUCACCUCCUUAAUCGUUCAUUCUUCCAAUUGUGAAAGCAUAGAAUCAUCCAUUUCCAAAUUGGAAAAACUAGGGUUCAUGCGUAAUUCUACAACGAUCACUAUUUCUUUUCAUCUGUGUGAUUCUUAACGUUUGUAAAUGAGAUAACCAGAUGAUCAAUGGCCAAUUCCUUUUAAGUUAUCAUAGCCCCAAAUCUUGCUUCUGUUGCAAUUGAGUUUUAUACCAUAUGGAUUGAAUUGUUGAUUGAUGAUCUAAUAACUGUAAAUGAAAUUAGUGAUUUUUAGUUUCGUUGGGGUUGUUUUUGUGGCAUGUGCAGGUUUGACCAGAGAAAUUUGAAACCGUCUGGAGCAGAAGAAACCAAAAUGGCUCUUUCCAAAGCCAAGGCAAGGCAUGGAAAUCGUUUCCUCAAACCCCCUUGUCCUCUUUAGGGUAAGUACAGAACAAGAUGAGGUAGAGAUCGAGGAGCAAGGACUUUGAUGUUGUAGUUGAUGACCCAAUCCAGAUGAAGGCCUUCACACAACGUGCAAAUGAAAAGUUUCCGCAUCUGCAAAAGCUUGUGGAAAUGGAGAUUAAUGGUGCGAAGAAGUUGCAGGAGACCAUUAGUCAUGGGAAGCUAUGGGGUGUUUUCGCAAGGCGGGACUGUGAGAUUUAAUCUUGAUCCUUUCAACGAGCAUAAUGAUCCUGAUCUUUGGAGAGGGCACAUCUAAAGGAUGUCAUCAGGAGGAACCCUUUGGGUUUAGAUGCCGAGAAAUUACCGUUGAUCAUAAAUCAGUAACUUGCUGAUUUUUCUAUGGAAAGAGAAGAAUCAUUAACGGAGAUGAUGUCUGCAGAAACUGGGACCUAUCGCUGGAUGGCUCCUAAGAUCAUGUUGGUAUCACAAUGGCAGAUCUUGGUCAACUCUGCCAUGGCAGCCUGCAUCAAGAUGGGAAGAAUAGAACUAGCAAGAUCUUUUGCUGAAAAUAGACUGUAUGCCGAUCACUGGCUUGAAUAUUACGCCACCAGAAGCUGUAAACUUAUAGGGAAGCAAUCGAGACUGUACCGAACUUGAAAAAUUGUUGGAUAUUUGACAUCUAAGAUGCUUCUAGAUAACCCUGAAAAAGCUUCUCUUUUGUAUUGGGAA
RNAcentral lists this long non-coding RNA (1275 nucleotides) under Helianthus annuus (common sunflower). Lineage: Eukaryota; Viridiplantae; Streptophyta; Magnoliopsida; Asterales; Asteraceae. The record is from RNAcentral.